RNAcentral lists this ribosomal RNA (973 nucleotides) under Sarcophaga cf. furcadorsalis EB-2016. Its description in RNAcentral is "eukaryotic LSU rRNA". It matches the Rfam family "Eukaryotic large subunit ribosomal RNA", at positions 114 to 911 of the family's 3401-position model. Lineage: Eukaryota; Metazoa; Arthropoda; Insecta; Diptera; Sarcophagidae. The record is from RNAcentral.
CUAAGUCACUUUGUCUUUAUGGCAAAUGUGAGAUGCAGUGUAUGGAAUGUCAAAUUUCUAGUAUGAGAAAUUAACGAUUUAAGUCCUUCUUAAAUGAGGCCAUUUACCCAUAGAGGGUGCCAGGCCCGUAUAACGUUAAUGAUUACUAGAUGGCAUUUCCAAAGAGUCGUGUUGCUUGAUAGUGCAGCACUAAGUUGGUGGUAAACUCCAUCUAAAACUAAAUAUAACCAUGAGACCGAUAGUAAACAAGUACCGUGAGGGAAAGUUGAAAAGAACUCUGAAUAGAGAGUUAAAUAGUACGUGAAACUGCUUAGAGGUUAAGCCCGAUGAACCUGAAUAUCCAUUAUAGAAAAUUCAUCAUUAUGAUUUUAAUAUUAAUAAUAUUAUAAUAAUGGUGUGCAUUUUUUCUAUAACGGACAUUGUAAUCUAUUAACAUAAAAUAUAUUUAUCAUAAGAUCAAUGAUGCGUAAGUUUAUUCAAAUUAUUUUGCUUGCAAUUUAACAUAGAAUAAAUGCUCUUGAUUUGAUAAAGUGUUGAUAGAUUUAUUAUAUAUAGUGCUUAAAUAUUUAUAUUUUAUAAUAGCAUAUUAAUCAUUGAUUUUUAUGUUUAUUAUAUGCACUUAUAUGAUUAACAAUGCGAAAGAUUCAGGAUACCUUCGGGACCCGUCUUGAAACACGGACCAAGGAGUCUAACAUAUUUGCAAGUUAUUGGGUAUCAAAACCUAAUAGCGAAAUUAACAUAACUUUAAUGGGAUUAGUUUUUAGAUUAUUUAUAGUCUAUUAAUUCAAUCCCGGGGCGUUCUAUAUAGUUAUGUAUAAUAAUAUUUAUAUUAUUUAUACCUCUAACUAGAGCGUACCUUGAGCAUAUAUGCUGUGACCCGAAAGAUGGUGAACUAUACUUGAUCAGGUUGAAGUCAGGGGAAACCCUGAUGGAAGACCGAAACAGUUCUGACGUGCAAAUCGAUUGUCAGAAU